CUGCUGGAACUGUCAAGGUCUCGGCAUAGACCUUACAGUUCGACGCCU
This 48-nucleotide small RNA is filed under the name Arabidopsis thaliana (thale cress). RNAcentral describes it as "ATSL255500". The record is from RNAcentral. Lineage: Eukaryota; Viridiplantae; Streptophyta; Magnoliopsida; Brassicales; Brassicaceae.